AACGGCCGCGGGACUCUCCACCGUGCAAAGGUAGCAUAAUCACUUGUCUCCUAAAUAGAGACUAGUAUGAAUGGCCAAAUGAAGAUUUACCUGUCUCUUAUAGUCAAUCUAUGAAACUGAUCUCUCAGUACAAAAGCUGAGAUAAAAACACAAGACGAAAAGACCCUGUGGAACUUUUAAACCUGCCACCACCAUCAUGGUCAAGCCGCUUUCAGUUGGGGCAACUUUGGAAUAAAACAAAACUUCCAAUCAAGGAGAACACCAGUCAACUGAAGGUUUACACACCAACAGUAUCUCCCCUACAUGACCCAGUAUUACUGACUAAAGAAACAAGCUACCCCAGGGAUAACAGCGCCAUCCCCUCCUAGAGCCCAAAUCGAAGAGCGGGGCUUACGACCUCGAUGUUGGAUCAGGGCCCCCAAACAGUGCAGCAGCUGU
Molecule: ribosomal RNA, 438 nt
Filed under: Callopistes flavipunctatus
Lineage: Eukaryota; Metazoa; Chordata; Lepidosauria; Squamata; Teiidae
Description: partial 16S ribosomal RNA
Rfam family: Bacterial large subunit ribosomal RNA
Source: RNAcentral